This is a long non-coding RNA of Fukomys damarensis (Damara mole-rat), 1200 nucleotides long. RefSeq lists it as uncharacterized. NCBI's taxonomy places the organism in Eukaryota, Metazoa, Chordata, Mammalia, Rodentia, Bathyergidae. The transcript has 3 exons. The record is from RefSeq and is a predicted model, not a curated record.
GAAGCCAUCUGACCUGGAUUGGAAUAGGGGUGUGGGAGAUUCUGGGGCUCCUUCUGAGGAAAGGUUAAACUGGCUCAACUCCAUCUAUAGCAAGACAGGAGGGUGGCUAAAUUCCCUUCCUGAGGACUGAAAACUUUCUUUCUUUCCUCCCCAGCCAUAGCCAAUCACUUUCUUCCAAAUCUGAAGAUUCUGCUGGUAUUUGGCACUGGAGGAUCCCAACCCACUUUACGGCUCGUCCCCAGUCUCACUGUCUUGACCAGUGCUGCUGUAAUGAAAAGCAUUGCCGGACUCCUAGUCCUUCCCAAGGGCCUGCCUGACCCAACACUUCCCCAGACACUGAAGGCAUUGCUACCUCCUUCCUUCCACACCUAUGACACUCCCCACACGGGGGAGCCUCCUGAGUGAGUUCCAGAGAGCCCAGGCAAGAGGCUACCAGAAGGUAGAGAGGCAGCAAAGUUGAGCAAAGGGUCAGCCUGUGUCCUCCAACCUGGCUCAGCAGACGGACCUGGACCCUCCUCACCCUACGGUGUCCUGCUCCAGGCAUCCAUUCUCCAGGCCAGCCCCUUCCCACCCAUUGAAGGCAACUACAGCUACUUUGGGGUAGACUAAGCAGGACGAAGCCUCCCCUCCCUGCAAUCUGUGGGUCCUUUCAUAUCUUUCAUCAAUAGCCACCUGCUACGGGGUUUCCAGUCCGGAGAAGUGGGAGUCUGGCCUUCCUCCUAACAUCGGUCUCUCCCACGCUCCACAGUCUCCUUGGCCUUGGACCACAAAGAUGGUUUCUCAAGUCAUCUUUCCUCCCAAUGCAGCUCUUCUCCUAGGACGUUCCUCUUGGAGACUGGGGCCAUCAUUCCGUGAAUGACAUGGGGCCGGAAAUCUGGAUACCGUCCUGGACCUCUCAGCCCCUAUCAGACUCUCUGUUAACAGAUGUUUACUGGGCAUCUUCAACAUGGUCCCACACCCUGUUCACGGUACUGAAGAGCAGCAGGCACAAAAUCCUUGCCUUCACAGGUUCGACCUCAGUGUUUGCAGUAUGGACUCUCCCCCUGAGAAUCUGUUACCUCAUUACCCUCCUGCCUAUUGUCCCCAUCCUUGUCCUCCCCUGUCUGGAAUCCUCUGCUUGGUAACCAACAUGAUCUCACAAACCCAUUUCUACCUUUUUGUUGUUGUUGUUUAUUUGUUUGCUUUUGAGAUAGGGUCUCA